Molecule: transfer RNA, 81 nt
Filed under: Prototheca zopfii
Lineage: Eukaryota; Viridiplantae; Chlorophyta; Trebouxiophyceae; Chlorellales; Chlorellaceae
Description: tRNA-Leu
Rfam family: tRNA
About the family: Transfer RNA (tRNA) molecules are approximately 80 nucleotides in length.
Source: RNAcentral
GCUCACUUGGUGAAAUGGUAGACACGCUAGACUUAAAAUCUUGUCCAUUUAAGGGUAUCGGUUCAAGUCCGAUAGUGAGCA